Molecule: ribosomal RNA, 253 nt
Filed under: uncultured bacterium
Lineage: Bacteria
Description: partial 16S ribosomal RNA
Rfam family: Bacterial small subunit ribosomal RNA
Source: RNAcentral
UACGUAGGGCGCAAGCGUUGUCCGGAAUUAUUGGGCGUAAAGAGCUCGUAGGCGGCCUGUCGCGUCUGCUGUGAAAUCCCGGGGCUUAACCCCGGGCGUGCAGUGGAUACGGGCUGGCUGGAGGCAGGCAGGGGAGAACGGAAUUCCUGGUGUAGCGGUGAAAUGCGCAGAUAUCGGGAGGAACACCGGUGGCGAAGGCGGUUCUCUGGGCCUGUACUGACGCUGAGGAGCGAAAGCGUGGGGAGCGAACAGG